Molecule: ribosomal RNA, 914 nt
Filed under: uncultured archaeon
Lineage: Archaea
Description: bacterial SSU rRNA
Rfam family: Archaeal small subunit ribosomal RNA
Source: RNAcentral
CCGGUUGAUCCUGCCAGAGGCUACUGCUAUCGGGGUCCGACUAAGCCAUGCGAGUUGAGAGGGGUAAGCCCUCGGCAUAUUGCUCAGUAACACGCGGAUAACCUGCCCUUGGGUUUGGGAUAACCCCGGGAAGCUGGGACUAAUACCGGAUAGAUCAUAGAAACUGGAAUGUUCUUUGAUCGAAAGCUCCGGCGCCCAAGGAUGGGUCUGCGGCCUAUCAGGUAGUAGUGGGUGUAACGUACCUACUAGCCUACGACGGGUAAGGGUUGUGAGAGCAAGAGCCCUGAGAUGGAUUCUGAGACAUGAAUCCAGGCCCUACGGGGUGCAGCAGGCGCGAAAACUUUACACUGCGGGAAACCGCGAUAAGGGGACCCCGAGUGCCAGCACCUAGUGCUGGCUGUCCAGCUGUUCAAAAAACAGUUGUUAGCAAGGGCCGGGCAAGACCGGUGCCAGCCGCCGCGGUAACACCGGCGGCCCGAGUGGUAGCCGUUAUUAUUGGGUUUAAAGGGUCCGUAGCCGGCCUAUUAAGUCUCUUGGGAAAUCUGGCGACUCAAUCGUCAGGCGUUCAAGAGAUACUGUUAGGCUUGGGACCGGGAGAGGUGGGAGGUACUCCAGGGGUAGGGGUGAAAUCUCGUAAUCCUUGGGGGACCACCGAUGGCGAAGGCAUCCCACCAGAACGGGUCCGACGGUGAGGGACGAAAGCUGGGGGCACGAACCGGAUUAGAUACCCGGGUAGUCCCAGCCGUAAACGAUGCUCGCUAGGUGUCAGGUGCGGUGCGACCGCAUCUGGUGCCGCAGUGAAAACUUGAAGCGAGUCACCUGGGAAGUACGGUCGCAAGGCUGAAACUUAAAGGAAUUGGCGGGGGAGCACUACAACGGGUGGAGCCUGCGGUUCAAUUGGAUUCAACGCCGGG